GCGGGUGUGGCGGAACUGGUAGACGCGCUGGUUUUAGGUACCAGUGUUUUAUGACGUGGGGGUUCGAGUCCCUUCACCCGCACCA
This 85-nucleotide transfer RNA is filed under the name Alphaproteobacteria bacterium. Its description in RNAcentral is "tRNA-Leu". It matches the Rfam family "tRNA". From Rfam's summary of the family: Transfer RNA (tRNA) molecules are approximately 80 nucleotides in length. Lineage: Bacteria; Pseudomonadati; Pseudomonadota; Alphaproteobacteria. The record is from RNAcentral.